RNAcentral lists this non-coding RNA (27 nucleotides) under Rattus norvegicus (Norway rat). The record is from RNAcentral. Lineage: Eukaryota; Metazoa; Chordata; Mammalia; Rodentia; Muridae.
UGUACAGUUUGAGGGGCCUGCAAUCUU